AAUGCUCAACAAACACUCUUCAGACUGACCAAGCUUUUUGUAUCUCUCUGUCUCUCAGUGUUCAUUUAAGUUGCUUAACUGCCAAUUUGCUGAAGAAGGUAUUGAUUUCAAUAUUGCUGUUCUGGCUUAUACUCCAUUGUUUAUGCGCAUUGCAUUUGGGUACGUUUGAAGGCAGACUUCAAUGAGGGGGUUAGAUCAUAAUUACUCAAAACUUAAAUGCAUGCCACUACCCACUUAUCAUCAUGUCUGUAUGUCUGUAUCAGAACAAAAGAUUUACAGUCAAAGAGAAUGGAUCCAUGCUCAUUUCCUAUAUUUCUCCAGGCCAGAGAUUCCAAGAAUACAACAUGAGUCCCAACUCACCACAGAAAACAGACUCUUGAAAAAGAGUCCUGAGAGAAACAGUUGAUUUGGUCAAACAGAUUUGGAGUCUGCUGUUGAAAAGUACAAGGGCCAUGAAGGAAGUUCAACUUUGAAAGUAAAGUGGAAGAGAGGACGAGAAGAUGCCGCCGUAGUAAGAAAAAGAACCUUCACAAGGCAUGUAAUUUUAAUCCAAAAUAUACAAGAAUUCCACAGGGCAUUUGCCUGAAAACUAAAUCCUUAUCCGGGAAGUAUAUUCCCCUCUCAUCCUUUCGGAUUUCUAAAUAUAGUGCAUGAACAUUAUUAUGUAACAAGACACAGAAUGCACUGCUCACUAUUUUGACUCUCGACUAAAUUUCGUGUUCGAUAUUUUUUUUUUUUUUUGGACGAAUUCUUCUUACAA
Molecule: long non-coding RNA, 760 nt
Filed under: Coffea arabica (coffee)
Lineage: Eukaryota; Viridiplantae; Streptophyta; Magnoliopsida; Gentianales; Rubiaceae
Description: long non-coding RNA (CARA_LNC007049)
Source: RNAcentral